AUGCCGAAGGUGCGGCGGCUGAAGCUUUCUGACACUGGAGGCGGCGAGGACCGCCUCAGCGCGUUGCAUGAUGACGCCCUCAUCCAGAUCCUCAUCAAGCUCCGUUGCCUCGCUGCAGCCGCCCGGACCAGCGUCCUCUCCCGCCGUUGGCGCCACCUUUGGGUCCUCCUCCCGAAGCUCCACUUCUACAAUGCGACGGACCCCCGCCGCAUACGCUCCGCCCUCGCCGCCCACGAGACCCCGAUGCUCCAGGAGCUCUUUGUCGUCAGACAGGAUGCCUCUUCUGGGCCCACGGGGGCGUGGCUCCCUAUCGCCGCGCACCGCCUCUCCGGCUUACUGUUUUGCCACUAUCUAUCGCAGAGGGUCAUGGCUAGGAGAAGAGUUGCCUUGAAGCUGUCGUGCUUCGAGAGCGCCACCGGGAUCUAUAUGCGGUUAGGGUUCCUCCGCCUUACGCUGCCGCCUUUCGGUGUUUUCGCCCGACUCAGUCUUCUUCACCUCUUUCAGCUCCGACUGCACGGUAUGUAUCAGCUCGAUGUCAUUGUCUCCUCGCCGCGGUGCCCGUGCUUGGGUAGACUUCUCGUCGAUGACGUCCGGGGUGUGGGCGGCCUCGCAAUCCACUCGGAAUCUCUUGGACAAAUUGAGCUAUAUAAUCUGCCCGACUUGCAGCAGCUCACCAUCGUGGCGCCAUCACUCCAUCAGCUAAAAGUGCAGGAUCGCUUUGCUCCAGUUGCGCGGCAACCGGUUGCCAGCAUCUCAGCCCCACAUCUGCUGCAGCUCGCAUGGAUAGAUGAUUAUGAUCAAAACUCUGUCAAUCUUGGCGAGAUGGCGCACCUACAACGGCUUGUCCUCCAACAAUUUAUCGUUUAUGGAAAGGACUACAUUGCUUCGCACAACCAUAAUUGUGCGCUUCUUUUGUGGCACUUUGAAUGCCUACACAAUCUUGUUAUCACUCUUCAUUGCCCCCCGGACAUAGCUAACAAGAAAUACUUGAUGGAAGAUAUAACAAGGGUUCCUGAUGUUAAGCUAUUGGGAUUGGGCAUAACGGCAUGUGGGCAUUCCUUUGGAGCCAGCUUAUUUCAUGUUCUGCGGAUGUGUACUGCAAUAAGAAGGCUGAAUCUUGGUCUUAUUGUCGCACCUGAACACGAGGCAGAAACUGUGUGCCCAUCAGGCUGUAUAUGUGAUCAGCCACCAAGCUGGAAAACCAGGGAACUCGUGUUGAAUUGCCUCGAAGAAGUAGAAAUCUUUGACUUGAAAGGAAGUGAACAUGAAAUCAGUGCUGUGAAUCGUCUAUUCAGUUGGGCACCGGUGCUAAAAAGGAUGACAGUAAAUUUCCAUUACUCAGUCACUGAAAACAAAGCCGAAGAGCUCUGCCAAGUGUUACUAACCUUCUCCAGGCCAGGAAUAUGUAUGAUUUGUAGGAUGCCCGACAUGUCGGAGAAAGUUUUGUGUGCUUAA
RNAcentral lists this ribosomal RNA (1455 nucleotides) under Triticum aestivum (bread wheat). RNAcentral describes it as "partial small subunit ribosomal RNA". Lineage: Eukaryota; Viridiplantae; Streptophyta; Magnoliopsida; Poales; Poaceae. The record is from RNAcentral.